UUACCAUGCAGUCGACGAUGAAGCCCAGCUUGCUGGGUGGAUUAGUGGCGAACGGGUGAGUAACACGUGAGUAACCUGCCCUUGACUCUGGGAUAAGCCCGGGAAACUGGGUCUAAUACCGGAUAGGAACGUCCACCGCAUGGUGGUUGUUGGAAAGAUUUAUCGGUCAUGGAUGGACUCGCGGCCUAUCAGCUUGUUGGUGAGGUAAUGGCUCACCAAGGCGACGACGGGUAGCCGGCCUGAGAGGGUGACCGGCCACACUGGGACUGAGACACGGCCCAGACUCCUACGGGAGGCAGCAGUGGGGAAUAUUGCACAAUGGGCGAAAGCCUGAUGCAGCGACGCCGCGUGAGGGAUGACGGCCUUCGGGUUGUAAACCUCUUUCAGUAGGGAAGAAGCGAAAGUGACGGUACCUGCAGAAGAAGCACCGGCUAACUACGUGCCAGCAGCCGCGGUAAUACGUAGGGUGCGAGCGUUAUCCGGAAUUAUUGGGCGUAAAGAGCUCGUAGGCGGUUUGUCGCGUCUGUCGUGAAAGUCCGGGGCUUAACCCCGGAUCUGCGGUGGGUACGGGCAGACUAGAGUGCAGUAGGGGAGACUGGAAUUCCUGGUGUAGCGGUGGAAUGCGCAGAUAUCAGGAGGAACACCGAUGGCGAAGGCAGGUCUCUGGGCUGUAACUGACGCUGAGGAGCGAAAGCAUGGGGAGCGAACAGGAUUAGAUACCCUGGUAGUCCAUGCCGUAAACGUUGGGCACUAGGUGUGGGGACCAUUCCACGGUUUCCGCGCCGCAGCUAACGCAUUAAGUGCCCCGCCUGGGGAGUACGGCCGCAAGGCUAAAACUCAAAGGAAUUGA
Molecule: ribosomal RNA, 850 nt
Filed under: Micrococcus sp. JC362
Lineage: Bacteria; Bacillati; Actinomycetota; Actinomycetes; Micrococcales; Micrococcaceae
Description: bacterial SSU rRNA
Rfam family: Bacterial small subunit ribosomal RNA
Source: RNAcentral